This 464-nucleotide ribosomal RNA is filed under the name uncultured bacterium. RNAcentral describes it as "partial 16S ribosomal RNA". It matches the Rfam family "Bacterial small subunit ribosomal RNA", at positions 28 to 507 of the family's 1533-position model. The record is from RNAcentral.
GACGAACGCUGGCGGCGUGCUUAACACAUGCAAGUCGAACGGUAAGGCCCCAGCUUGCUGGGGUACACGAGUGGCGAACGGGUGAGUAACAAGUGGGUGACCUGCCCCGCACUUCGGGAUAAGCCUGGGAAACUGGGUCUAAUACCGGAUAGGACCGCACCGUGGGGGUGUGGUGGAAAGUUGUUCGGUGUGGGAUGGGCCCGCGGCCUAUCAGCUUGUUGGUGGGGUAAUGGCCUACCAAGGCGGCGACGGGUAGCCGGCCUGAGAGGGUGGAUGGCCACAUUGGGACUGAGACACGGCCCAGACUCCUACGGGGGGCAGCAGUGGGGAAUGUUGCACAAUGGGCGGAAGCCUGAUGCAGCGACGCCGCGUGGGGGAUGACGGCCUUCGUGUUGUAAACUCCUUUCGCCAUCGACGAAGGUUUUCUGACGGUAGAUGGAGAAGAAGCACCGGCUAACUACGUG